RNAcentral lists this ribosomal RNA (699 nucleotides) under Rhodeus lighti (Light's bitterling). Its description in RNAcentral is "partial 12S ribosomal RNA". It matches the Rfam family "Bacterial small subunit ribosomal RNA", at positions 518 to 1521 of the family's 1533-position model. The record is from RNAcentral. Lineage: Eukaryota; Metazoa; Chordata; Actinopteri; Cypriniformes; Acheilognathidae.
CGGUUAUACGAGAGGCCCCAGUUGAUAGUGCCACGGCGUAAAGGGUGGUUAAGGAAAAUAACUAAAUAAAGCUGAUCAGCCCCUCGGCCGUCAUACGCUUCUAGGUGCUAGAAAACCAAAGUACGAAAGUAGCUUUAAUAACCCCCACCUGAACCCACGAAAGCUGAGAAACAAACUGGGAUUAGAUACCCCACUAUGCUCAACUGUAAACCCAGACAUUCAGAUACAGCCACAUGUCCGCCAGGGUACUACAAGCAUUAGCUUAAAACCCAAAGGACUUGACGGUGCCUCAGACCCCCCUAGAGGAGCCUGUUCUAGAACCGAUAAUCCCCGUUAAACCUCACCACCUCUGGCCAUCCCAGCCUAUAUACCGCCGUCGCCAGCUUACCCUGUGAAGGAAAUAUAGUAAGCAAAAUGGACAAAACCCAGAACGUCAGGUCGAGGUGUAGCGCACGAGGUGGGAAGAAAUGGGCUACAUUUUCUAAACCAGAAUACUACGGACGCGCAACAUGAAAUAGUGCCUGAAGGAGGAUUUAGUAGUAAAAAGGAAAGAGAGUGUCCUUUUGAACCCGGCUCUGAGACGCGUACACACCGCCCGUCACUCUCCCCUGUCAAAAUGCAACAAAAAUAUUUAAUCCAAGAGCACUGACAAGGGGAGGCAAGUCGUAACAUGGUAAGUGUACCGGAAGGUGCACUUGG